RNAcentral lists this ribosomal RNA (206 nucleotides) under uncultured Sedimentibacter sp. Its description in RNAcentral is "partial 16S ribosomal RNA". It matches the Rfam family "Bacterial small subunit ribosomal RNA", at positions 568 to 774 of the family's 1533-position model. The record is from RNAcentral. Lineage: Bacteria; Bacillati; Bacillota; Tissierellia.
UGAGUAGGCGGUAAUAUGUGUCAGAUGUAAAAGGCUAUGGCUUAACCAUAGUUGGCAUUUGAAACUGUAUUACUUGAGUGCAGGAGAGGUAAGUGGAAUUCCUAGUGUAGCGGCGAAAUGCGUAGAUAUUAGGAGGAACACCAGUGGCGAAGGCGACUUACUGGACUGUAACUGACGCUGAGUCACGAAAGCGUGGGUAGCAAACA